RNAcentral lists this ribosomal RNA (372 nucleotides) under Triticum aestivum (bread wheat). Its description in RNAcentral is "partial small subunit ribosomal RNA". The record is from RNAcentral. Lineage: Eukaryota; Viridiplantae; Streptophyta; Magnoliopsida; Poales; Poaceae.
AUGAAGCCGUCGGCGCGGCGGCCGCUGCUGGGCUUGCUGGCGGCGGCGGCGCUCUCUUGCCUGCUGCUCCUCGCGCCGCCACCCCGCCACCUCUUCCCCUCCUCCUCCUCCUCCCCCGCCCGCGCCCCGACCUCGCCCUACGCGCCCCGCCCCAAGCUGCUCUUCCUCCUGGCCGGCCAGUCCAACAUGGCCGGCCAGGGCGCGCCCACCUCGCCGGAUUCGUCUCGUCAUUAUGAGCAACUUUCAUGUAUAAAGUAUUUUCAUCCGAGCUACGGUCUAUUUCCUAUGAUAUUUCGAAGUUUAAUCAAUAUUAUGGAAUUUCCUGAAAAUUGGCUAAGUCUGAGAAUUGUUCAGUUUUUUAGCAUCACUUAG